GACGAACGCUGGCGGCGUGCCUAAUACAUGCAAGUAGAACGCAGUUGCGAACGGGUGAGUAACGCGUAGGUAACUGCCUCAAAGCGGGGGAUAACUAUUGGAAACGUUAGCUAAUACCGCAUACUGUGAGAUGUACCUGCGUUGUAUUAGGUAGUUGGUGAGGUAAAGGCUCACCAAGGCGACGAUACAUAGCCGACCUGGGAGGGUGAACGGCCAAACUGGGACUGGGAAACGGCCCAAACCCCUACGGGAGGCAGGCGUAGGGGAAUUUCGGCAAUGGACGGAAGUCUUGACGAGCAACGCCGGGUGAGUGAAGAAGGUUUUCGGAUCGUAAAGCUCUGUUGUUAGAGAAGCGUUAACUAACCAGAAAGGGACGGCUAACUACGUGCCAGCAGCCGCGGUAAUAC
Molecule: ribosomal RNA, 407 nt
Filed under: uncultured bacterium
Lineage: Bacteria
Description: partial 16S ribosomal RNA
Rfam family: Bacterial small subunit ribosomal RNA
Source: RNAcentral